This 253-nucleotide ribosomal RNA is filed under the name uncultured bacterium. Its description in RNAcentral is "partial 16S ribosomal RNA". It matches the Rfam family "Bacterial small subunit ribosomal RNA", at positions 524 to 776 of the family's 1533-position model. The record is from RNAcentral.
UACAGAGGGUGCAAGCGUUGUUCGGAGUUAUUGGGCGUAAAGCGCGUGUAGGCGGCUUUGCAAGUCGGGUGUGAAAGCCCUCGGCUCAACCGAGGAAGUGCGCCCGAAACUGCAGAGCUUGAGUACCGGAGAGGAUGGCGGAAUUCCCCAAGUAGAGGUGAAAUUCGUAGAUAUGGGGAGGAACACCGGUGGCGAAGGCGGCCAUCUGGACGGAUACUGACGCUGAGACGCGAAAGCUAGGGGAGCGAACGGG